GUAGGAUAUGCAUGUUUUUGGUGAAGGAAUGUAUAUUUAUUGAGGAUAUGUAUUCCAAAAUUUUAGAGAUCAACUGCAUAUUCAAAUAUAAGCAUUUUUUUUAGUAUUCCAAAUAAAUAAAGUGUAUUCAAGUAUGAAGGAUUGGUGAGAUUUUAAGUGUUCAAAGUAUUUAGCUCUAAACUUAUAUUUAUUUCAAUAACAAUUCAAACUUAACUUCAGUAAUCACGUGUUUUCUUUUUUUUUCCAUCUUGAAAACCUAAAAGGCUAUAUAAAUAGCCAAUAAGAGCCUUAAUAAAAUUCAAAAAGGUAUAUUCACAGGCAGUGGGUCUUAACAUUAACUUAAUAAUUUGUUUCAAAUUAGAGAGAAACUCCCAAGUUCCAUGCAGAAACCUCAUACUAUCUUCAAACCAAAAUCAAACCAAAAAUUAUCCAACUGAAUAUUAAAGCCAAGACUUUUUUCAUUGUGAAUUUGGGUGACUAAAUCUAAGAAUGGACUGAUAAACAUUGCUGAGUGGUACACAUUGGAUGAAAUCAUUACCCUACCAUCAUCACUAAGAAAUGACAAUGCUGUCACCUGCAAGCAGGCCAUGAAAUGAUGAUUUCACAAGACUCAAAGAAAUGUGAAAUAUUUGACAUUUUCACCUUAGUGUUUUCACACAUAAACGAGACACCUUUCAAUGUAAGUAGCGAAUUUUCUUUUCCUGUUGAGAGCUAGUUUUGCAACUCAAAGGGUAAAUAAGGAAAAAAUGUUGCUUUAGAAUUUUCUGAAAUGAUACAACUCACAUGCAGUGAACUCUAAUUCCACUAUUUCUGCAAGUGGCCUUGAGUCAGAAUCUUAGUUGUUGAAUUGCUGAAAAUUUAGAAGUUAUCUCUUAACUAGUCUACCAUGUAUGUGCAAAUCAGAAAAGGUGUGAAAAUUUUGCAUUGACAGAGUUCAGUUCUUUCAGCCUUAGUUACACAUUUAGUUGUCACUUAAGUUUUAAUUGAAUAAAAUUAGGCCCCUUAUUUUCA
RNAcentral lists this long non-coding RNA (1011 nucleotides) under Felis catus (domestic cat). RNAcentral describes it as "lncRNA (ENSFCAG00000053433.1)". The record is from RNAcentral. Lineage: Eukaryota; Metazoa; Chordata; Mammalia; Carnivora; Felidae.